This is a small nuclear RNA of Suricata suricatta (meerkat), 107 nucleotides long. Lineage: Eukaryota; Metazoa; Chordata; Mammalia; Carnivora; Herpestidae. The record is from Ensembl.
GUGUUCUUCUUGGCAGCACAUAAACUAUAAUUGGAAUGAUACAGAGAACAUUAGCAUGGCCCCUGUGCAAGGAUGACAUGUAAAUUUGUGAAGCAUUUCAUAUUUUU